Molecule: non-coding RNA, 75 nt
Organism: Myotis lucifugus (little brown bat)
Lineage: Eukaryota; Metazoa; Chordata; Mammalia; Chiroptera; Vespertilionidae
Source: Rfam
GGCAGUUCUCGGGUGAUGCACCCUGGAAUCAGGCUCCCUCCUCUCUGGUUCCAGGUGUGUCACCCAAGAACCGCA